AGUGUCCCUUGCGUCCUUGGCCUUCCCUCGGCACCUCCGUCCAUGUUCAGAGUUUUCAGAAGAAUUUGUUAGGUCUGUAAUCUGAUUCUGGGGAAGGUGAGCUGAUUUGUAUUUAAUUCCUGAUUAUCAUCCAGGGUUUAUGUGACUUUGGACAUGAAUGUCACCUCUGAGCCUGCUGUCGUGAACCCCACUCAUCACAGUGGCUGUGGGGGUCAGUGGUGCCCAGGACAUGGGAGGCUCAGCCAUGGUGAAUUUCCAGACCAGUUCAGACAGGAGGGUGGGGACGGGAGAGGAUCCUGGUGCUGGGCUCCACAGUCCAGGAGGAUGAUUGACGCCCCCACUCAAGAGCCCACAUCGGCUCCAAAUACCAUGAAAUUCUCCUUGUGAUACAUCUGAAAUAUGCAGAUCAUCACAGCCACGGGCACAGAAAGAGGAAGAACAGUUCCUCACAUUGAGACGCAUCCCCUUCCAUGAGCAGAGUUCAAUGCUGAGUGGCCACAGGUGUCUGGGACCACCCAGGGUCAUUAGGGAGGAGGAGGCUCCCACCUCCGUGUGGGACAGAAGAGGAACCCCACGUCCUCCCAGGCAGGGAGGGGUCAGGGCUCUGGGUGACGCUGGAAGCUGUGGCUCCCCCUCCCCUGUGUGUGUGGACAGGCGCUGGGGGGUCUCUGCUCACUCACUGGAGGCCAUGGUCAGUGCUCAGCCCCUCCCCUGUGUGUGAGAAACAGAUUCAAUCCACGGUGGUCUGACAUGGGCGUCUGCUCUGCCCCACAGGUUUUCUCACUGGGAAAUGCUGGAGCCGUUUUUCUGAGCUGAACUUUCCCAUCUGGAAUCUGUCUGGUUGGUGGUGCCCUGACCCCACCUUCAGUCAGCCCAUGGGUCUCCCCGCCAACUUCCUACUCACCCAAUGUCCUGUGUUGGCCCUGAGGCCAGUGUCAGAGGAGAAAGAAGAGGAGGAAGAGCACCAGCUGAAGGCCACUGAGACCCCGAUCACAACCCCCAGGUGCUUUCCCAGACCCUGAGGUAGGACUGUGAAGGUGUACUGAUGCCCUUGCCAAAUGAAAGGAAACUGUUCCUGAUGGUUCUUAUUAACAGUGAUGGAGAAAAAAAUAUUUAACACAUCAAUGGCUGAAUACUGGGUAUCAGGGGAUGUAUUAAUUUGCUCAAACUACAAAACCACAUCUGUUACAACAUCUUCAAUUGGAUCUGAUUAAGCUUACAAUAAUCUAAUAUCAUUAUCCAAGAUCCCUGCGUCUUCUGUGGAGGUAAAAUAGGAGAGGUGAAUGGCAAGGUUGUGGGAAUCACUGUCUCUGCACGCUUCAAGUCCCAAUAUAUGGAAUUCCUCCAGGAAUGCAAGACUGCUUUUGGUUUACAGUUUAGCUGGGAAGAGGCAGUUCUAGUGGCUCCCACUGGGCCCACUCUAAUAACCCUCACUCAACAAGUGAGGGAACCACUGUGGGGGUUGUGAUAGUUGUUGAAUAUGUCUAUUCCAAUGUUGCCCUCUGGAACUGGGGAUACAGCCACAGGGUGGGUUUAGGGAUACACUGGAUUCACUAUGGAACACGUGAGCUCAAACUCCACCAAUCACCUUGCCUCUAGCAGCCACUACUCUGACUGGAGGGCCACAGUGACGUUUCGGGUCUCCUGGAAUUAAUGUCAGUUCAUACCCCAUUUCCAGUAAUGCCCAAAUUAUCUGAUUAUUUUCCCCAAGGCUCCAUUGCCAUUGUAAAAGGCUGCAGGUCCCUUUAACCAAAGUCCAGGAGAAAGAUUAAGAGUAUAUAUUCUUGGUAGUGUACCAGGGACAGUGCCCUCACGGGAACCCUGCCUGGGAUCCCUUUAAUUCAGGGGAUUCUGGCUCUAUGAACUGACUCAGUGCUAGCCAUUGAUUGAGAGACUGUGGCUCUCUGCUUUUAUGAUUUGGGUUGACUUUUGUUCACUUGACAUAGAAAUUUUCUGCUUAUACAGAUCAAGUGAGAAUUUAGUAGGUUUCCUAUCUAUCUCCCUUGUUAGAAUGCCGUGAUCAACUAGCCAACACCAUAAGUCUGCGGGACUAUUCCGAUCGCUGGUUUGACUUUGCUGUCCAUCAUGGUAACCAAACCCACCUUGCCUUUGGUGGCUGAGUUCCUCUACUUGGCCCCUGUCUCUCUGGGGGCCAAGAGGUAGGGGCCAAAUUACUCCCAUUACAUUUAGAUUUUUUAAAAUUCAGCAGUUCCACUGUAGGUUCCAGCUUCCAGAGAAGAGAAAUCACAGAGCUCCUCAAGGAUGCCAGAGCUCCCUUUGCAAUAUUGUUGAAAGAUACAUCUUCUGAUGCUUCCAAUGUGGGUUACUAGGUUUGAUACAUGCAUGGUAACAUUACAGUCUUCCUAAGCCUUUAAGUUAAUUCCUCUGCAGCAAACCAAGGCAUGUCUGGCAUUUUGAGUUUAUUUACUGCAGGCCAGCUUUUGCUCCAUGUUUCAGCCAAUCAACCAGACAAACUGGUAGAAUCAUUUCCGGUUCUCCAAGAUGCAACAUUAAAUGUGCAAUCUCUGUUUAGUGAGCUUAUAUAUAUAAAUUCGGUCCGACUCAACUUUAUGUUCUUUUCACCAUUAUCCUAAACCCUUAAUAUCCACUCUGACACGUGUUCCUCAGACUUCUGUAUGGAUAAAUUAGAAAAAUAAAUAAAUUACUUUGGAGUGUAGCACAACUUCUCAUGAGCCACACUUUGUAACACACUUUUCAGGGCCUGCGAGACUUGAAUCUAGUUAUAGGUCUAGAAGCAAAGAGGGUUGGUCAGGAUGUAUCCUAAGGAGAAUCAGCAUAGCCUUGCAUGGCAACUGCCUCAGGGGAGGCCAGUAUUGUUUCCUCAGACAGUACAGGGUUAAUCUCCUCCCUUGCAGAUAGAGAGGAUGCUUCUAUUGGCAAAGAAGACUCAUUCAAAGUUAGGGGCUUGAUAUCCUCAGCUGUAUCAGGGUCUUAAUAUACAUCCUCAUUCCAUCUUUCAAGAUCUCACCCAUUCCUGACCAAUGGCAUUACUUGAACAGUAGAUACCCUGUGAGGCUGGGGACUCCGCUUGAAUUGUAAUACAGCCACUUCAAGGAUGAGAUUCUCGGUUUGAUUUUCAGCAAUCUCACCCCUACAGCUACAGAUGAUAAGAGUCUCUUUCAGGGCACACAUAGAAACCUCAGAUAUUUAUGUAGUGGUGCUUGAACUGGAAAUUCUAAUCUCUGGGCUCAUCUUUUUCUUUACCUCUUUAUCCAAUGACAAAACAGCCACACAUACUAUACUUAAUAGUUUGACAACAAUCUUCAAAGGUGUAUGCAAGGCCACCCAGAUUCUCGUUCCUUAUAAGUGUAGGAUUAGGAGCAUCUAGUGGUGUACCCCUAAUGCCACAUCAUGCCACGGACUAUCACAGACUUCCUUCCUUCCUUCUUCCUUCCUUCCUUUCUUCCUUUCUCUUUCUUUCUCUUUCUGUUUCUGUCAUACUGUCUUAAUGUCUUUAAAUCUAAUCAGACAGCCAGUUCCAUAAACCUCAGAAACAGUAGACAAAACAUAUUAAGAUUCAGUUCAUCUAGAAUCAUUCCUAUGAUCAAAUUAUGUAUUUGUAAGUGUUCUCCAGAGAAACAGAACCGAUAUAUGUACAUAUGUGCAUAUCUAUAUCUACUUAUCUUGCUAUCUAGGAAUGGGUUCAUGUAAUUGUUGGCACUUGGUGAGUCCAAAAUCUGCAGGACAAACAGCCUGAAGACUUGGGGAAGAGUUUCAGCUCCAGUCAGCCAAACAACCUGCUUGCAAAAUUUUUUACUAUUCUGUGGAGCACAUUACUUCUUUUCCUUCUCACAAUGCACUUAUUAUCUUUUAACACAAUGCAUACUCUAUCUAUUAUUUAUUGUGUGUAAUGUCCACUUUUCUUGACUACAAUAUUGACUUAAUACAGGCAGGCUCUUUGGAAGUUUUCAUGUCCUUUAUUCUGAGACAUCUCAUACACCAUGUUUGACACAGAUCAGAUACUUCACAUGUGCCUAUGGAAACAGGGAAUAAAAGUUUCUCCACUCCUGCCAAGUUCAUUUCUAUCACAGAGACAAUUUGUUCCAACUUGAUUCUUUUCUUCUCCCUUCCAGGCAGCCUUUUGUACAAAGUUCUCAGAAUAGAAAAAGAAUAACAUUCAGGAGGCAAGACCCCAAGGUUGGGAAGAAACACAUCCAGACUCAUUGCCUCCUCCUUCAUCUCAGUUCUUAGACAUCAGGGUCCUCAUCUGAUAUCUUAUUUCCAUGUGGUUUCUCCAAGAAUUUCAGAGAUGUUUCUUUCUUUCUUUCU
Molecule: long non-coding RNA, 4290 nt
Filed under: Homo sapiens (human)
Lineage: Eukaryota; Metazoa; Chordata; Mammalia; Primates; Hominidae
Description: HSALNT0398724
Source: RNAcentral